GAGGGUGUAGCUCAGUGGUAGAGCACAUGCCUAGCAUGCAUGAGGUCCUGGGUUCAAUCCCCAGUACCUCCA
This 72-nucleotide transfer RNA is filed under the name Camelus bactrianus (Bactrian camel). It matches the Rfam family "tRNA". Rfam says of the family: Transfer RNA (tRNA) molecules are approximately 80 nucleotides in length. Their secondary structure includes four short double-helical elements and three loops (D, anti-codon, and T loops). Lineage: Eukaryota; Metazoa; Chordata; Mammalia; Artiodactyla; Camelidae. RNAcentral also lists the same sequence under 2 other names. The record is from Rfam by way of RNAcentral.